GACCAUCCUCCAAGGCUAAAUACUCCUGACUGACCGAUAGUGAACCAGUACCGUGAGGGAAAGGCGAAAAGAACCCCGGCGAGGGGAGUGAAAAAGAACCUGAAACCGUGUACGUACAAGCAGUGGGAGCACGCUUAGGCGUGUGACUGCGUACCUUUUGUAUAAUGGGUCAGCGACUUAUAUUCUGUAGCAAGGUUAACCGAAUAGGGGAGCCGAAGGGAAACCGAGUCUUAACUGGGCGUUAAGUUGCAGGGUAUAGACCCGAAACCCGGUGAUCUAGCCAUGGGCAGGUUGAAGGUUGGGUAACACUAACUGGAGGACCGAACCGACUAAUGUUGAAAAAUUAGCGGAUGACUUGUGGCUGGGGGUGAAAGGCCAAUCAAACCGGGAGAUAGCUGGUUCUCCCCGAAAGCU
RNAcentral lists this ribosomal RNA (414 nucleotides) under Escherichia coli. Its description in RNAcentral is "partial 23S ribosomal RNA". It matches the Rfam family "Bacterial large subunit ribosomal RNA", at positions 451 to 867 of the family's 2925-position model. The record is from RNAcentral. Lineage: Bacteria; Pseudomonadati; Pseudomonadota; Gammaproteobacteria; Enterobacterales; Enterobacteriaceae.